RNAcentral lists this ribosomal RNA (371 nucleotides) under uncultured organism. RNAcentral's name for it is "bacterial SSU rRNA". It matches the Rfam family "Bacterial small subunit ribosomal RNA", at positions 526 to 896 of the family's 1533-position model. The record is from RNAcentral.
CGUAGGGUGCGAGCGUUAAUCGGAAUUACUGGGCGUAAAGCGUGCGCAGGCGGUUUUGUAAGACAGAUGUGAAAUCCCCGGGCUCAACCUGGGACCUGCAUUUGUGACUGCAAGGCUAGAGUACGGUAGAGGGGGAUGGAAUUCCGCGUGUAGCAGUGAAAUGCGUAGAUAUGCGGAGGAACACCGAUGGCGAAGGCAAUCCCCUGGACCUGUACUGACGCUCAUGCACGAAAGCGUGGGGAGCAAACAGGAUUAGAUACCCUGGUAGUCCACGCCCUAAACGAUGUCAACUGGUUGUUGGGUCUUUACUGACUCAGUAACGAAGCUAACGCGUGAAGUUGACCGCCUUGGGGAGUACGGCCGCAAGGUUG